Molecule: ribosomal RNA, 465 nt
Filed under: uncultured bacterium
Lineage: Bacteria
Description: partial 16S ribosomal RNA
Rfam family: Bacterial small subunit ribosomal RNA
Source: RNAcentral
GACGAACGCUGGCGGCGUGCUUAACACAUGCAAGUCGAACGGUAAGGCUCCAGCUUGCUGGGGUACACGAGUGGCGAACGGGUGAGUACACGUGGGUGACCUGCCCUGCACUUCGGGAUAAGCCUGGGAAACUGGGUCUAAUACCGGAUAGGACCAUGGUGUGGAUUCUGGGGUGGAAAGUUUUUUCGGUGUGGGAUGGGGCCGCGGCCUAUCAGCUUGUUGGUGGGGUAAUGGCCUACCAAGGCGGCGACGGGUAGCCGGCCUGAGAGGGUGGACGGCCACAUUGGGACUGAGACACGGCCCAGACUCCUACGGGAGGCAGCAGUGGGGAAUAUUGCACAAUGGGCGGAAGCCUGAUGCAGCGACGCCGCGUGGGGGAUGACGGCCUUCGGGUUGUAAACUCCUUUCACCAUCGACGAAGGGUUUCUGACGGUAGAUGGAGAAGAAGCACCGGCUAACUACGUG